This 2258-nucleotide long non-coding RNA is filed under the name Equus caballus (horse). RNAcentral describes it as "lncRNA (ENSECAG00000050022.1)". The record is from RNAcentral. Lineage: Eukaryota; Metazoa; Chordata; Mammalia; Perissodactyla; Equidae.
GCCAGCCAGGGCCUAAGGCCCCACCAAAGGGUCACUGCCCCCCCCCCCCAACCACCACCAGGCACCCAGAGCUGGGACCCGGGAGUCGUCCUGGUUCUUCCCUCCCUCCCUUAAUCUCUCUCCAGCGCACUAUCACCUCUCCCUCCCGAAGCCACUGCCUUGGUCCAGGCCCCCUGACCCCACAUCACAAGGACCAUGGUCUAGUUCCCACUUCCCUCACAACCACCCACUGUGGCAGUGACCUUCCUGUAAGAAAAGCUGGUCGCAUCCUUUCCAUGCUGAAUAACCCUGAAGGCCGCAUGUCCUUCUAAACAAAGGCUAACUCCCCUGGAGGACGUGCAGCAUCCUCCCCAGUCUGGCCCCAGCGCAACUCCCGGCCUCAGCCCUCCCCCAUGAAGCUCACACAGCCUCCACUGCUCACUCAAGUCUCCCUGGGGCCACCAGGCUUUUGCACAUGCUGUCCCAGUGCUGACAGCACCCUUAGCCACCUCACCUGCAGUCAACCCCUAAUGCCCUUCAACACUCUGCUUAAAUGUCACUCCUCGGGGGCGUCUUCCCUGCCUGGGGGAUCACUGGAUGCCCCUGCCGCCCAGCCUCCUAUGUCGCCAUGGACUUUGUACAUCUCUGUGCUCUGCCAGUCACUAUGUUCUGGUGUAACUGUGCUUACAUGUCUGUUCUCAUCAUUCUCAUCACUCCACCCGCAACUUCCCUCCGCCCCUGAGCCUUGCAGGCUGGGACUGUGGCUUGCUCAGUGUGUAUCCCGAGCACUCCGCACAGGGCCGGGCACACAGGAGGGACUGGGUAAGGGAAUGUGGAAUGUGGUUUGCACGGGCAGUAGAAGAGGAAAACCAGUCAGGGCACGAAGAUCAGUCAGCUCAGGGGCACAGGGUCCAGGACAGGAAGGGGAGCAGGACUCCUUCCCUCCUUAGGCUCCUGGAGUAGUUGGGGUGGGAGAAGGAGUGUCUGUCCACUAAGACUUUCUGUAGCCCACUGCGGUCCAGCCUGGGCACCUGCCUCCUGCCACACUGGCUUCAGGCCUGGUGGGGCUCCAGGGAGCCCUUGCAGGGCAGGCCAACCUGGAUCCUGGCCUGGGGAGGACAAGGUGGAUGGACACAACCGGACAGAACUGGGCACCAUUUUGGACUUUAUCACUUGCUCCCUGGGCGAGCUUGGGCAAGUUGCUUAACCCUUCUGAGCCUGGUUGCCUCACUAGUGGAACAGGAGCUAAGCUUGCCUCCCUCGGAGAGCACUGGAGCCCGAGUCUGGCACACGACAGGCCCUCAGUAAUUGCUAGUCUUCACCUUCUGGAUGAAAUAUGUCCCUGGAAGCAAUGGCAGCUGAGGGAAGCUGGCUGGUCUACAUCAGACAGGUCCUCCUCUCCCUCUGGAGGAGCCAAUGGGGAUGCCCCCCUCCUGCAACCCUGGCCCUGCCCCCUUCCUAAGCACAGUGAACCUGGGAGGGCGGGGAGAUCUGGGGCCACAGGCUCAGGAAGGCUGAUGGGAGCAGGAAGGAGGCAAAGAAGCAAAGAACCAUCCACAAGGUGCUGAGGACCCCUCAAGAGAUGGACCAGCCGAUGCCUUUCGUCGCCGAAAUGCCAGGUGGGCUGUACCCCUCCAAGGAAAUUGUCGUGUGAGGCAUUGCCCUGCCCAGCGCUGAGAGGUUGCAAAUCAACUUGUACUCUGGGAAUGACAUCGCCCUCCACCUGGACAUCCGUUUCCGUGAGAACGUUGUGGUCUGCAACACAAAGAUGAACGGCAUUUGGGGGUCGGAGGAGCGAAGCCCGAUUGAAAAAAUGCCCUUCAUCCCAGGCCAAAGAUUCUUGAUGAGGAAACAGACUCACAAGUGCAGGUUACUGGCCUGAGGUCACACAGAUGAUACGUGCCAGAUGGAGCCCAAGAAUGAGGUGCGCAUCACGUGUGAAGCCAACUGCUUCAGGGUGGAUGUGAAUGGUGGGCACCUGUGUGAGUACUACCACCGCCAGAACAACUUGUCCUCCAUCAACAAGGUGGAAGUGGUGGGCGACAUCAAGGAGAUUCAGAUUCAGAUGCAGGAGGGAUCCCUGGCCUGGGCUCUAGGGCUGGGGCACAUUGCUGUCUGGAUCUGCUCAUCACCUCCACCUUCCCCGUCCCUGCCCCAGCCCCAGCCCUUCCCAGCCUGCAGAGGGUCUCUUUUCUGGGGAGACCACGCCCUUGUCUGGCCUUGAUGAAGCUUCAGCCAGCCUGGAGUGCCGAGGGCAGCUGGCUGGGACCACCUUUCUU